CAGCCGCCGCGGUAAUUCCGGCGGCCCGAGUGGCGGCCACUAUUAUUGGGCUUAAAGCGUCCGUAGCCGGGUUGGGAAGUCCUCCGGGAAAUCUGGCCGCUUAACGGUCAGAAUUCCGGGAGAUACUGCCAGCCUAGGGACCGGGAGAGGCCGAGGGUAUUCCCGGAGUAGGGGUGAAAUCCUAUAAUCCCGGGAGGACCACCUGUGGCGAAGGCGCUCGGCUGGAACGGGUCCGACGGUGAGGGACGAAGGCCAGGGGAGCAAACCGGAUUAGAUACCCGGGUAGUCCUGGCUGUAAAGGAUGCGGGCUAGGUGUCGGGUGAGCUUCGGGCUCGCCCGGUGCCGUAGGGAAGCCGUUAAGCCCGCCGCCUGGGGAGUACGGCCGCAAGGCUGAAACUUAAAGGAAUUGGCGGG
This 414-nucleotide ribosomal RNA is filed under the name uncultured microorganism. Its description in RNAcentral is "bacterial SSU rRNA". It matches the Rfam family "Archaeal small subunit ribosomal RNA", at positions 459 to 872 of the family's 1478-position model. The record is from RNAcentral.